This 581-nucleotide ribosomal RNA is filed under the name uncultured Gemmatimonadota bacterium. Its description in RNAcentral is "bacterial SSU rRNA". It matches the Rfam family "Bacterial small subunit ribosomal RNA", at positions 338 to 916 of the family's 1533-position model. The record is from RNAcentral. Lineage: Bacteria; Pseudomonadati; Gemmatimonadota.
CCUACGGGAGGCAGCAGUGGGGAAUUUUGGACAAUGGGCGCAAGCCUGAUCCAGCAAUGCCGCGUGCAGGAAGAAGGCCUUCGGGUUGUAAACUGCUUUUGUACGGAACGAAACGGCUCUGGUUAAUACCUGGGGCUAAUGACGGUAACCAAUGAAUAAGCCCCGGCUAACUUCGUGCCAGCAGCCGCGGUAAUACGAAGGGGGCUAGCGUUGUUCGGAAUGACUGGGCGUAAAGGGCGCGUAGGCGGUAUAAUACGUUUGGUGUGAAAGUCCUGGGCUUAACCUGGGGACUGCACUGAAUACGGUUAUACUGGAGUGCGAGAGGGGAUAAGGGAAUUGUGCGUGUAGAGGUGAAAUUCGUAGAUAUGCACAAGAACACCGGUGGCGAAGGCGCUUAUCUGGCUCGCAACUGACGCUAAGGCGCGAAAGCGUGGGGAGCAAACAGGAUUAGAUACCCUGGUAGUCCACGCCCUAAACGAUGAAUGCUAGGUGCUGGGAGUAAUCUCGGUGCCGCCGCUAACGCAUUAAGCAUUCCGCCUGGGGAGUACGGUCGCAAGAUUAAAACUCAAAGGAAUUGACGG